RNAcentral lists this ribosomal RNA (266 nucleotides) under uncultured bacterium. Its description in RNAcentral is "partial 16S ribosomal RNA". It matches the Rfam family "Bacterial small subunit ribosomal RNA", at positions 338 to 621 of the family's 1533-position model. The record is from RNAcentral.
CCUCCGGGCCGCAGCAGUGGGGAAUAUUGCCCAAUGGGGGAAACCCUGAUGCCGCGCCUCCUCUUUCUUGCCUCCUUCUUUCGGUAUGUAAAGCUCUAUCAGCAGGGAAGAAAAUGACGGUACCUGACUAAGAAGCCCCGGCUAACUACGUGCCAGCAGCCGCGGUAAUACGUAGGGGGCAAGCGUUAUCCGGAUUUACUGGGUGUAAAGGGAGCGUAGACGGCGCUGCAAGUCCGGAGUGAAAGCCCAUGGCUUAACCAUGGUAC